Long non-coding RNA from Clupea harengus (Atlantic herring), 626 nucleotides. RefSeq lists it as uncharacterized. The transcript has 3 exons. The record is from RefSeq and is a predicted model, not a curated record. NCBI's taxonomy places the organism in Eukaryota, Metazoa, Chordata, Actinopteri, Clupeiformes, Clupeidae.
UGUGAAUGUCCCCAUAAAUCCAAUGUAUUUUUUGCACCAUAACCAUUCCUCUUGUUAUUCUGUUCUUAUACUGUUCUCGUUUGUUCUUAACUGUGUGUUAUGGAGUGUUUUGUCAAACGUAUUUGUUUUUGGGCUCACAAAGGGCUUCAGAAAAAUCAUAACAUUGUAUUUUAAUACAACUUUUUUGUAUUCAAUUAUUUGCAGGCAAGGUAGUGUUAUAGCUGAUUUAACCAUGAGUCAUGGUGACAUCGACUGGGCUCAGAUAAAAGCACAAAAUGCAGAUCUGAAACUCCAACUCCAAAAAGCAGGUCUUGAUGUUGCUGAAAACUUUCUUUCUGAAAGUGUUGAAAGAGAACUUCUCGAAACGGAAGACCCCCACGCUGGAGAUGCUGCUAUGGUAUUAAAAUGCCCUGAAUCAAGUGACACAGUUGUUGAACCAGAAUGGAGGUUCAAAGGAAAAACACUCACUAACUCAAACAAAUAUCAGAUUUCAUCUAAGACUCUCACCGUCACAGGAGUUGCCCUUAGUGACCAGGGUCUUUACGGGUGCAGAUAUGACAGAACCUCAGCACCAACUCUCUUUUAUUGGAACACUGUAACUAUCAAACAAAACCCUGAGAUUCAAC